CAGCAGCCACGGUAAUACGUAGGGGGCGAGCGUUGUCCGAAGUUACUGGGCGUAAAGAGCGCGUAGGCUGGUCUUUAAGUGAGUGGUGAAAGGUUCGGGCUCAACCCGGACACUGCCUUUCAUACUGGGGACCUUGAGUGUGGGAGAGGCGAGUGGAAUGGUCGGUGUAGCGGUGAAAUGCGUAGAUAUCGAUCGGAACACCCAUGGCGAAGGCAGCUCGCUGGCCUAACACUGACGCUGAGGCGCGAAAGCGUGGGGAGCAAACAGGAUUAGAUACCCGCGUAGUCCCUGUCUCUUAUAA
Molecule: ribosomal RNA, 301 nt
Filed under: uncultured bacterium
Lineage: Bacteria
Description: partial 16S ribosomal RNA
Rfam family: Bacterial small subunit ribosomal RNA
Source: RNAcentral